AAAUUUCCUGUUGACAGUAAUGGGCUUAUUUCUUGUUUUUCUCCCGUUUUAAUGUCAGCCGAAUGGUUCAACUUCUCUGAUAAUCCUUUUAAAGAAAAGAUGAAUGUCAAAACUAUAAAAUUUCUUCAAUCAUCAUUGACUUUCAACUGAUUUCAAAUUGAAGCCCAAAGUCCAGAUUCACUCAUUCAACAGGUUGAAGGACAGCAACCUUAAAUGCCACAUAAUGAAAAGCGCAAAGCCACAACAGGUGAUGCCUCAGGCCCUGAGUCACUACUUGGAGGAGACCUGCCCAACCAGAAAAACCUGCAUUGGACUUUUAAGUAACUCAAGAGAGUAACUCAAGAGAAAGUUUUAUGAUGAUCGUUCACUUGGAGCAGCUAGUGUUAUCUUAUCUAAUACAAACCUAACUACAUGUCUCAGUCAUCCUGAAACACCUCACUCUGACAUUAAACCCCUGUUCUACUUGGCAGAGAAAA
Molecule: long non-coding RNA, 476 nt
Organism: Zalophus californianus (California sea lion)
Lineage: Eukaryota; Metazoa; Chordata; Mammalia; Carnivora; Otariidae
Exons: 3
Source: RefSeq, a predicted model, not a curated record